Molecule: non-coding RNA, 25 nt
Filed under: Rattus norvegicus (Norway rat)
Lineage: Eukaryota; Metazoa; Chordata; Mammalia; Rodentia; Muridae
Source: RNAcentral
UGCCACCCUUCCUCAUUGUCAGUGG